This 446-nucleotide ribosomal RNA is filed under the name uncultured bacterium. RNAcentral's name for it is "bacterial SSU rRNA". It matches the Rfam family "Bacterial small subunit ribosomal RNA", at positions 997 to 1443 of the family's 1533-position model. The record is from RNAcentral.
UCUGUGGAACAUGGACUUCCCGCAGGGACUGGAGUCGAGGUGCUGCAUGGCUGCUCCUCAGCGUCGGUGUCGUGAGAUGUUGGGUUAAGUCCCGCAACGAGCGCAACCCUUGUCCUGUGUUGCCACCCCGCAAGGGAGCACUCUCAGGAGACCGCCAGCGAUAAGCUGGAGGAAGGUGGGGAUGACGUCAAGUCCUCAUGGCCUUUAUGUCCAGGGCUACACACGUGCUACAAUGGGCGGUACAAAGCGCUGCAAACCCGCGAGGGGGAGCCAAUCGCAAAAAACCGUUCUUAGUUCGGAUUGCAGGCUGCAACUCGCCUGCAUGAAGCUGGAAUCGCUAGUAAUGGCGUAUCAGAAUGAUGCCGUGAAUACGUUCCCGGGCCUUGUACACACCGCCCGUCACAUCACGAAAGUGGAUUGCACUAGAAGUCCGCAGGCUAACCGCA